RNAcentral lists this ribosomal RNA (1380 nucleotides) under metagenome. RNAcentral describes it as "bacterial SSU rRNA". It matches the Rfam family "Bacterial small subunit ribosomal RNA". The record is from RNAcentral.
AGAGUUUGAUCCUGGCUCAGGAUGAACGCUAGCGACAGGCCUAACACAUGCAAGUCGAGGGGUAACAUGAGUGCUUGCACUUGAUGACGACCGGCGCACGGGUGCGUAACGCGUAUGCAACUUACCUUGUACUGGGGAAUAGCCCGUGGAAACGCGGAUUAAUGUCCCAUAACACUACAAUUUCGCAUGGAAAAGUGGUUAAAGUUCCGACGGUACAAGAUGGGCAUGCGUGACAUUAGCUAGUUGGUGAGGUAAUGGCUCACCAAGGCGACGAUGUCUAGGGGUUCUGAGAGGAAGGUCCCCCACACUGGUACUGAGACACGGACCAGACUCCUACGGGAGGCAGCAGUGAGGAAUAUUGGUCAAUGGGCGCAAGCCUGAACCAGCCAUGUCGCGUGCAGGAAGACUGCCCUACGGGUUGUAAACUGCUUUUGUAUGGGAAGAAACGUUGGUACGUGUACCAAUUUGCCGGUACCAUACGAAUAAGGAUCGGCUAACUCCGUGCCAGCAGCCGCGGUAAUACGGAGGAUCCAAGCGUUAUCCGGAUUUAUUGGGUUUAAAGGGUGCGUAGGCGGUAGAAUAAGUCAGUGGUGAAAUCCUGCAGCUUAACUGUAGAACUGCCAUUGAUACUGUUUUACUUGAGUGUAAUUGAGGUAGGCGGAAUGUGUUGUGUAGCGGUGAAAUGCAUAGAUAUAACACAGGACACCGAUUGCGAAGGCAGCUUACUAAGUUAUAACUGACGCUGAUGCACGAAAGCGUGGGUAGCGAACAGGAUUAGAUACCCUGGUAGUCCACGCCGUAAACGAUGAUUACUCGCUGUAGGCAAUACACCGUCUGUGGCUGAGCGAAAGCAUUAAGUAAUCCACCUGGGGAGUACGUUGGCAACAAUGAAACUCAAAGGAAUUGACGGGGGCCCGCACAAGCGGAGGAACAUGUGGUUUAAUUCGACGAUACGCGAGGAACCUUACCUGGACUUAAAUGUAGAUUGACGUAUCCAGAGAUGGAUAUUUCUUCGGACAAUUUACAAGGUGCUGCAUGGUUGUCGUCAGCUCGUGCCGUGAGGUGUCGGGUUAAGUCCCAUAACGAGCGCAACCCCUGUUGUUAGUUACCAGCACAUCAUGGUGGGGACUCUAACAAGACUGCCGGUGUAAACCGCGAGGAAGGUGGGGAUGACUUCAAAUCAGCACGGCCCUUACGUCCAGGGCUACACACGUGUUACAAUGGCCGGUACAGAGGGCAGCUACUUGGUGACAAGAUGCGAAUCUCAAAAACCGGUCUCAGUUCGGAUCGAAGUCUGCAACCCGACUUCGUGAAGCUGGAUUCGCUAGUAAUCGCAUAUCAGCCAUGAUGCGGUGAAUACGUUCCCGGGCCUUGUACACG